RNA transcript from Triticum aestivum (bread wheat), 3256 nucleotides. RefSeq lists it as uncharacterized. The record is from RefSeq and is a predicted model, not a curated record. The transcript is spliced from 6 exons. Lineage: Eukaryota; Viridiplantae; Streptophyta; Magnoliopsida; Poales; Poaceae.
CCUCCCACGCCCCCUCCCCUCGCCGCCACCCGCCCCUCCCCUCGCAGAUCCAGAUCGCCGUGCUCUGCUCCUCCCUCCUUCCCCUCUGGCAAGAUCCCACAUCCAUCGAUCCAUCCAUCAACCGGAACCCCUCUCCCGAUGCCAGAUCCAAUCCUCCUCCCUCCCUCCUCGCCCCGGCUCCUUGCUCCCCUCCCCUUCCAUAUCACCGUACCACCUCCCUCCUUGCCCUAUCUCGCUGCUCCCCUCCCCUUCCAGAUCGCCGCCGCCACCUCCCUCCUCCUCCCUCGCCCUGGCUCCCUGCUCCGCCUCCCUCUUCCCCUCCUCCUCAUCGUGCUGCUGCGUUCUAGAGUGUUUGCUUACAGGGCCGGGAGCGACACCAACGACACGGACGGGGACGAGGAUGAUGACCCCGUGAUGGAGGUCGACGGCACCGAGGACGAGGAGGUCGAUGAGGUCGUCCAGGCUAAGGCCGCCGCCAAGGCGCUCGGGACCAAGAGCAGCUUGGGCUCGGGCACCGUCGGUGAUGUUUUCGACGGGCUCGUGGAGCUCAACAUGGACGCCUAUGACGACGAGGAGGAUGGGCUCGAGCUUUUCAGCACCAGGCUGGGGGACUUGUACUACGAAAGCAAUGAAGAGGACCCCUAUAUCAUCAAGAACGAUGAUGAAGAUGAUGGCGAGGACGACGAUGAGGAGAUUAAGGACAUGACUAUCAAAUCUACUGAUAUAGUGAUUGUUUGCGCUCAUAACAAGGAUGAAUUCAAUUCUCUCCAGGUUAGCAUAGUGGAAGAAUUGGAGGAUGGGGAUCCUAAUAUGUUUGUGCGCCAUGAGGUCCCUCUCUCAGAUUUUCUGCUCUGCACGGCUUGGAUGGAUUUUAACCGUCAGGAUUUGGGGCCUUCUUCAAGAAGGACAAGACCAGGGCCUCCAAUGGAUCAGUCAGUGCUCCACUGCUCCUCUUCUUCCUAACCAUUUCCGGGGGUUUGUGCAGGCCAUCACCAUGGUAAGCCGAGGUGCUGUGGGUGUCAAGGAAGACGAUGGUUCGGUUGAGACAGUGAAGAGAGGAUAGCGUGCAGAGAGGGAGGACGUCGGUUCCAGGUGCUUAGAUUACCUGAGGGUCCAUGACAUCUCGCUGAACCACUACUGGAUGUGGUGUCGACGAAGCACUACACCUAGCUUGCUCGUCGGCGCGCACAUGUGUGCUUUGAUGCGCGACGCUUCAUCGAGCUGACCGGACCGCGACAAUCGCCGGAGCCGGAGCUGGAGGAGGCGAUGAGAUGCUGCUGCUGCGACUGCGUCCUCGGAGGCAGCAGUUGCCCCUCGCCGACCUCACCAACCUCCGGCGUUCGCCAUGAGCUCCGCGCAGGACCCCUUCUAAAUCUUCCAGGAGGAGAUCCAGGGCUUGGUAAUCCCCCCAUCGCCGUCCGCCCUCCCUCCCUCCCUUGUGCCCCUUUCUCUUCCUCUAGUUGCGAAUUUUGGUAUGUUGCCGCUGUUUAUUUGGCUGCGUCGUGGCGUACUGUCAGCUGAAAACUGCUUCUUUAUUUUCUACUCCAGUAUUGUAUGGAGUAGUAUAUAAGGAUGUCUUACUGUAGUAUGGCAAAGGCAGUGACCAGCUUGGUAGUUAGUACUAGAUGAGAAAAUUCAUGAUGCUGGCCGGGAGCAAAAAAUUUAUAGGCUUAGUUGCUGUAUUGGUUCUGUAAUUGUAUGGGGAUAUAUGCAUAGAUAUGUAACGUGUGGGUUCCAAGCAUGCUUCCGAGAUUUUUUUAGUUUUGCUGGCUCUUGCAACACUUGGAUUAUUUAUUAAUAUAACCCAACAGCGAUGCUUCCAUUUUAACACAUGUACUAGUGUGCUAAAACUAGUACUGUACCUGCUUCUUCUUAGCCUGAGUAGUACAUCAGGCUUGUAUUAACUUGUAGCCUAGUCACUACAGUCAUCUUGUGCUUUUAUCUUCUCUGUGAUGUCAUUUGCCUUUGAGCCUACUUAUUGAAGACUUAUGCUCAUAUAUCUUUUUAGUCCCUCUAUUUCCAUAAAUGUGACACUGUUUUGUUUCUAAAUACUUGACACAUACAAGUUUGAGGGCAUUGUCCUAAACCCUUGCUAUGAUUGAUCCAUCUCCUCUACUUUGUUACUUGUGCUUAAUUGAGAUGUUACUCAAGGGUAGUGUUUGGGACAACAUAUAUAAAUGAUAUGGUCGUUUACUUUAAUAUGUGUGUUGACUCGAAACUGUCAAAAUAUCUAGAAAUAGAGCGAACUCACUUCACAGAUUCUUUCAAUCUUCAAUGGUUAUGGUUUUUGCAUUACGGAUUCUUAAUCUCCUCUGAUUCUAGAUUCUUCCAAGUGCUAGCUAGCUCCAAAAGCAAAUUGUCUUCAUUUGGAAGAUGCAACAUUCUAUCAGAAUCCAUUCUCCUGCUCUUUUUCUUGUACCGUAUGUCAUCCAUUAUUCAACCCCGUUGGUAAGUUCUUGUAGUGUGUCUCUCUAUUCAGAAUUGCAUUUUAGUUUAGGAUUUGCUUCCUGUGUGGUACUGGAUGGCUGAGUAUUAAAACAAUUUGGUUACUAUCGGAAGCACUUUAAUUCUCUGGAAUUAAACUUUGACAAGCAUGCAUAUAUGUGUUCAAUUUUUCUGGAUUACGUGAUGGCAUUCUACGAUUCUGUUUAACAACUUAAGUAUAUGUAUGAAUGUGCUCGAGUCCAUGAUUUAUUGUUCUGUUUAACAACUUAAGUAUAUGUAUGAAUGUGCUACAUUUAGAUCGACCUAUCAUAGAAAUCUGCUUAAUUUGAACUGGAAGUAGAUAGUACUAACAGUCAGAUUGUCCUCCAGUCCAUGUCUUUGAUGUACACCUGCUCUGCUGUUGUUAUUUGUUAAUAUACAGAUACAACCGUAUGUAUAGUCACUAACACUUGGACUUGCCAAAACAUUCAUGUAGGCUGUUGGUGGACGUGGUGGUGAUCCUCCUGUUAGGAGGUAGAGGAUGUGAGCUGAGCUGCUGUCUGGUCGAGGAAGAAAGUUGCUGUCUUUACUGGUGAAACAAAUUGCUGCCGCAACCAUGCUUGUGAGCUUAUGAUGUGCCUCUAGUUUAGUUUGUCGGUUUCUGUGAAUCAUUCUCUGUGAUGUAAGAUGUAUUGCUGCUGUUAGCUGUAAAUGUGAUGUAUGAUGAGUUGACUUGAUGGUUCGUUUGAGGUUGUCAUUGGAAUGGAUUAUCUCCUGUGAAGUUUACUGCUAGUUAACAUGAGUUAAACUAAUACAUACACUUGCUGCUGUU